UCUAAUAUGGCAGAUUAAGUGUAUUGGAUUUAAACUCCAAAAAUAAAGUUUAAACUUUUUUUAGAA
This 66-nucleotide transfer RNA is filed under the name Curculionoidea sp. 15 KM-2017. RNAcentral's name for it is "tRNA-Leu". It matches the Rfam family "tRNA". From Rfam's summary of the family: Transfer RNA (tRNA) molecules are approximately 80 nucleotides in length. Their secondary structure includes four short double-helical elements and three loops (D, anti-codon, and T loops). Lineage: Eukaryota; Metazoa; Arthropoda; Insecta; Coleoptera. The record is from RNAcentral.